Strongylocentrotus purpuratus (purple sea urchin) is the source of this 533-nucleotide long non-coding RNA. RefSeq lists it as uncharacterized. The record is from RefSeq and is a predicted model, not a curated record. The transcript has 3 exons. NCBI's taxonomy places the organism in Eukaryota, Metazoa, Echinodermata, Echinoidea, Camarodonta, Strongylocentrotidae.
GGAAAACCAAAAAGAAGUUGAAUACAGGGACUCGAGAAUCUCGAGAAAAGUACCCUGGCUACUUAGAUCUGUUUAAUCGACUAUCACAUGAGCUGAUGACGUCAGUGCCAUUCCCUACUCUUCUCCAAACUCGACGAGAAGCUUUACCAAUUAUUCAGAACAUCGCCAAAGGAUACAAAUCUACACUGGGUCCUCAUCAUCAGAUGACUGAACAAGCCUGUGCUAAGGUUGAAAAGUUACGAUCAGAAUUACAAGACAAUGAUGUGUUUCUAUGAUCAGAUGACUGAACAAGCCUGUGCUAAGGUUGAAAAGUUACGAUCAGAAUUACAAGACAAUGAUGUGUUUCUGUGAUGGAGCCUCAUCAUUGAUGUAGAAUGAUGCUCAUUGACAGUGGUUUGCUGAAUUUGCCCAAACUGGUUCUAUACAAACCAACAGCUGACAACUUUAGAUCCCGGUCCGUCUAUUGAAAUUCAGUUCGACCCCUUCCUUUCGUAUUCAGUCCUACAUGCAUCCUUAAAUCCUUGACCUACCUU